RNAcentral lists this ribosomal RNA (253 nucleotides) under uncultured bacterium. Its description in RNAcentral is "partial 16S ribosomal RNA". It matches the Rfam family "Bacterial small subunit ribosomal RNA", at positions 524 to 776 of the family's 1533-position model. The record is from RNAcentral.
UACGUAGGGUGCGAGCGUUAAUCGGAAUUACUGGGCGUAAAGCGUGCGUAGGCGGUUCGUUAAGUUCGUUGUGAAAGCCCCGGGCUCAACCUGGGAACUGCAAUGGAAACUAGCGGGCUGGAGUGUGGCAGAGGGGGGUGGAAUUCCACGUGUAGCAGUGAAAUGCGUAGAGAUGUGGAGGAACACCGAUGGCGAAGGCAGCCCCCUGGGCUAACACUGACGCUCAUGCACGAAAGCGUGGGGAGCAAACAGG